This 776-nucleotide ribosomal RNA is filed under the name uncultured Providencia sp. RNAcentral's name for it is "bacterial SSU rRNA". It matches the Rfam family "Bacterial small subunit ribosomal RNA", at positions 724 to 1502 of the family's 1533-position model. Lineage: Bacteria; Pseudomonadati; Pseudomonadota; Gammaproteobacteria; Enterobacterales; Morganellaceae. The record is from RNAcentral.
GCGCCCCUGACAAAGACUGACGCUCAGUGCGAAAGCGUGGGGAGCAAACAGGAUUAGAUACCUGGUAGUCCACGCUGUAAACGAUGUCGAUUUGGAGGUUGUUCCCUUGAGGAGUGGCCUCCGGAGCUAACGCGUUAAAUCGACCGCCUGGGGAGUACGGCCGCAAGGUUAAAACUCAAAUGAAUUGACGGGGGCCCGCACAAGCGGUGGAGCAUGUGGUUUAAUUCGAUGCAACGCGAAGAACCUUACCUACUCUUGACAUCCAGAGAAUUUAGCAGAGAUGCUUUAGUGCCUUCGGGAACUCUGAGACAGGUGCUGCAUGGCUGUCGUCAGCUCGUGUUGUGAAAUGUUGGGUUAAGUCCCGCAACGAGCGCAACCCUUAUCCUUUGUUGCCAGCGAUUCGGUCGGGAACUCAAAGGAGACUGCCGGUGAUAAACCGGAGGAAGGUGGGGAUGACGUCAAGUCAUCAUGGCCCUUACGAGUAGGGCUACACACGUGCUACAAUGGCGUAUACAAAGAGAAGCGACCUCGCGAGAGCAAGCGGAACUCAUAAAGUACGUCGUAGUCCGGAUUGGAGUCUGCAACUCGACUCCAUGAAGUCGGAAUCGCUAGUAAUCGUAGAUCAGAAUGCUACGGUGAAUACGUUCCCGGGCCUUGUACACACCGCCCGUCACGCCAUGGGAGUGGGUUGCAAAAGAAGUAGGUAGCUUAACCUUCGGGAGGGCGCUUACCACUUUGUGAUUCAUGACUGGGGUGAAGUCGUAACAAGGUAACCA